GGUAGGCGCGAAUUUUCUUGAAAAUUCGUUGAUUGGUUGGAGCGAGUAGACCCGCCGCGUGGUAGCUGGCAAAUAGUGGGGGUGGGGGGUGAAGAAAAAGAUCUAGUUAUUUACCGUCAACGUUAGAGUGCGCUAGGGUCGCGCGUCGUUCUUUGUUUCAUUUGGACGAUCAGUUCGUCUCGUCCAGCAGCGCAGGAAGGCCGGUCGAACAAGAAAAUUUUCGCUUUAAACGAGGGGUGUCUAAGCUAUUAUUCGUAAUAAUCCUAGAAACAAAACGCCGAUCAUUUACCCCGAAAAGAGCUCAAAAGACAACGCGCAUUCUCCGCGACAUGCUGCUGCUAGUGCUGCUAGGACGAACGUGAAGCUGCUCGAGUUAACGCGUUUCGAUCGAUUUGGAAAGCUCCCGUGUAUAUUCUCCUGGAAAAUAAAAUUCGUAAUCUUCGCGUAGUGUGAAAAUAGUGUGCUGCAAAGUGUGCGUGGAUUUGUGAGCUGGAAAAAGGAAAGGAAAGGAAAGGAAAGGAAAAGAAGGAAGAAGAAGAUAGUGUCAGAUUAGGGGAAAAAAGCUUUUCCGGUGUGUCGGUGUUGAAAAAAAGUAUUCUUCUUCGUUGUGUCCUCUUGUUGCCCCCUCUCCCAUCGAUCGAGCAGUGCAUGUGAGAAGAAGAAGAAGAAGAAGAAGAA
RNAcentral lists this long non-coding RNA (678 nucleotides) under Polistes fuscatus (common paper wasp). Its description in RNAcentral is "uncharacterized LOC122521310, transcript variant X2". Lineage: Eukaryota; Metazoa; Arthropoda; Insecta; Hymenoptera; Vespidae. The record is from RNAcentral.